RNAcentral lists this ribosomal RNA (467 nucleotides) under uncultured bacterium. RNAcentral's name for it is "partial 16S ribosomal RNA". It matches the Rfam family "Bacterial small subunit ribosomal RNA", at positions 29 to 507 of the family's 1533-position model. The record is from RNAcentral.
ACGCACGCUGGCGGCGUGCUUAACACCUGCCAGUCGCACGGAAAGGCCCUGCUUUUGUGGGGUGCUCGAGUGGCGAACGGGUGAGUAACACGUGAGUAACCUGCCCUUGACUUUGGGAUAACUUCAGGAGACUGGGGCUAAUACCGGAUAGGAGCUCCUGCUGCAUGGUGGGGGUUGGAAAGUUUCGGCGGUUGGGGAUGGACUCGCGGCUUAUCAGCUUGUUGGUGGGGUAGUGGCUUACCAAGGCUUUGACGGGUAGCCGGCCUGAGAGGGUGACCGGCCACAUUGGGACUGAGAUACGGCCCAGACUCCUACGGGAGGCAGCAGUGGGGAAUAUUGCACAAUGGGCGGAAGCCUGAUGCAGCAACGCCGCGUGCGGGAUGACGGCCUUCGGGUUGUAAACCGCUUUCGCCUGUGACGAAGCGUGAGUGACGGUAAUGGGUAAAGAAGCACCGGCUAACUACGUG